UAUAAACGGGGAUAAUCAGGUAGCUCAUGGUCAGCAUGUCUGUCUGACCCAAUUUCGAUUACUUUUGAAAUUGUGGCUUUUUUUGAAUGACCACUUGUAAAUCCGACUAUUUUUGAAUUUAUCCCAAUUUGUAGCCUAACACGUGUAGCCCAACUAUCAACUCACCGCUUGAUUUCUCUAACUACAUCCGACACUGGUGAGAAGCUCCAUCUGCAAAGUCCCCUUCUUCAAACGGCUCUUCGCUUAAUAUCUCUGCUCUCUCUCACUCCUCCCCUCUGUCUAUUGAUAUUUCCUACUGGAUUUGUCACUGUGAGACUUUCAGUACUCAAAACUCCGGAUUCACAUACAAGUAAAAGAUAAUUGCAAUGGAUAGCCAAUCUGAUCCUCACGCUUUCGCUUUUUCUGCAGCUGAGUUGGAAUUUUUUCAAAAGAUGAUACAUGCCAAACAUGAGAAUGGAUCCUCUCAAUCUUGUAUAUCAACACAGGUGCCUCUCUGGUUAGCAGUUGGUGUUAAAAAACAAAGGAAAAUGUACUAUCAGACCUCCUGAAUCCAUGUCCAUUGGCUUAUUGAAUUGACAUAUGUGGACGUUGUGGGUUGACGACAUUACUGUCUCAUCUGCUACAUCUUUAGAGGCCCAUCAUACUCAUUGUUUCACCUCAGAAUUUCUUCCAAUUACUAAUAAGUCUCAUGUUUCCUUGCUUAAAACACAGUCAUGCUAAUAAUACACUACCAAAACUAAAUAGGAAAAUUCAAUUUCUGCAGAGCCAAAUUCCAAGUUGUUCAUUUCUUUUAAUUUGAUUUUCUUUUGGUAUGUUUAUCCCAGUUAUACCAGUAGUUUCUUAGAGCCUUGUUUUAACUUUCAAGGCCAAUCUACCCUUUGAGCUUAAGAUUGUGUCACUACAAGUUUAACUCUAAUGUUCCUUUAUUCCUGUUUCACUCUUAGAUGAGAAUGUGCAUAGUUCAAGAAUGCCUGAUAGCUCUAACACGAGCAGGGAAAUGAAGAAAACCAAAGUUGAUCAGGCUCAACACAGAGAAAUUUCAGGCAAUUCUAUGAUGUAUAGGAGCUAAGAUUUUGUUGGUGAUCUCUUGUGUAUAGUUAAAGUUUAGAUUCAGUGACAAUAACAUUAAACACUAUGCUUUUGCAGAACACUUCAAAUCACAUAUCUUCUCAAAUACUUGAUUCAGAAGAAAAAUAAAACACCUAUACUUCAUUUCA
This is a non-coding RNA of Nicotiana tabacum (common tobacco), 1217 nucleotides long. NCBI's taxonomy places the organism in Eukaryota, Viridiplantae, Streptophyta, Magnoliopsida, Solanales, Solanaceae. The record is from RefSeq and is a predicted model, not a curated record.